This 328-nucleotide unclassified non-coding RNA is filed under the name soil metagenome. Its description in RNAcentral is "partial contains 5.8S ribosomal RNA, internal transcribed spacer 2, and large subunit ribosomal RNA". The stretch from base 1 to 120 matches the Rfam family "5.8S ribosomal RNA", at positions 35 to 154 of the family's 154-position model. The record is from RNAcentral.
GAUGAAGAACGUAGCGAAAUGCGAUAAGUAGUGUGAAUUGCAGAAUUCAGUGAAUCAUCGAAUCUUUGAACGCACAUUGCGCCCCUUGGUAUUCCGAGGGGCAUGCCUGUUCGAGCGUCAUUAUAACCCUUCAAGCUCAGCUUGGUGUUGGGGCCUGCUGUAACUAGUAGCCCUUAAAAUCAGUGGCAGUGCUAUUAGGCUCUAAGCGUAGUAAUUCUUCUCGCUAUAGUGUGUAGUGAGCGCUUGCCAGAACCCCAAACUUUUAUAUGAUUGACCUCGGAUCAGGUAGGGAUACCCGCUGAACUUAAGCAUAUCAAUAAGCGGAGGA